This 166-nucleotide ribosomal RNA is filed under the name uncultured bacterium. Its description in RNAcentral is "partial 16S ribosomal RNA". It matches the Rfam family "Bacterial small subunit ribosomal RNA", at positions 1336 to 1500 of the family's 1533-position model. The record is from RNAcentral.
UAGUAAUCGUAGGUCAGCAUACUACGGUGAAUACGUUCCCGGGCCUUGUACACACCGCCCGUCAAACCAUGAGAGUUGGCAACACCCGAAGUCGGUAGUCUAACCGCAAGGAGGACGCCGCCGAAGGUGGGGUUGAUGAUUAGGGGUUAAGUCGUAACAAGGUAGC